AACGUAGGAGACAAACGUUAUCCGGAGUUACUGGGCGUAAAGGGCGUGUAGGGGGUUUCGUAAGUCUGGCGGGAAAUUUUUCGGCUUAACCGGGAAAGGUCGUCGGAUACUGCAGAACUAGAGGACGGUAGAGGCGUGUGGAAUUCCUGGUGUAGCGGGGAAAUGCGCAGAUAUCAGGAGGAACACCGGUGGCGAAGGCGGGUCUCUGGGCCGAUACUGACGCUGAGGAGCGAAAGCGUGGGUAGCAAACAGG
Molecule: ribosomal RNA, 253 nt
Filed under: uncultured bacterium
Lineage: Bacteria
Description: partial 16S ribosomal RNA
Rfam family: Bacterial small subunit ribosomal RNA
Source: RNAcentral